CCUACGGGAGGCAGCAGUGAGGAAUAUUGGUCAAUGGACGGAAGUCUGAACCAGCCAUGCCGCGUGCAGGAAGACGGCUCUAUGAGUUGUAAACUGCUUUUGUACAAGGGUAAACCUGAAUACGUGUAUUCAGCUGAAAGUACUGUACGAAUAAGGAUCGGCUAACUCCGUGCCAGCAGCCGCGGUAAUACGGAGGAUCCAAGCGUUAUCCGGAUUUAUUGGGGUUAAAUGGUGCGUAGGCGGAUGGAUAAGUUAGAGGUGAAAUGCCCGAGCUUAACUUGGGAACUGCCUCUAAUACUGUUGGUCUAGAGAGUAGAUGCGGUAGGCGGAAUGUAUGGUGUAGCGGUGAAAUGCUUAGAGAUCAUACAGAACACCGAUUGCGAAGGCAGCUUACCAAUCUAUAUCUGACGUUGAGGCACGAAAGCGUGGGGAGCAAACAGGAUUAGAUACCCUAGUAGUC
This 460-nucleotide ribosomal RNA is filed under the name uncultured bacterium. RNAcentral's name for it is "partial 16S ribosomal RNA". It matches the Rfam family "Bacterial small subunit ribosomal RNA", at positions 338 to 795 of the family's 1533-position model. The record is from RNAcentral.